CGUGUAGGCGGCUAGAUAAGUCAGAUGUGAAAUCCCUGGGCUUAACCCAGGAAGUGCAUUUGAUACUGUUUGGCUUGAGUAGGGGAGAGGAAAGUGGAAUUCCUGGUGUAGAGGUGAAAUUCGUAGAUAUCAGGAGGAACACCGGUGGCGAAGGCGACUUUCUGGCCCUAUACUGACGCUGAGACGCGAAAGCGUGGGUAGCAAACA
Molecule: ribosomal RNA, 207 nt
Filed under: uncultured delta proteobacterium
Lineage: Bacteria; Deltaproteobacteria
Also listed under: 1 other name
Description: partial 16S ribosomal RNA
Rfam family: Bacterial small subunit ribosomal RNA
Source: RNAcentral